UCGGGGUCUUAACUGAUACGGACGCAGCCGGGAACCGGGCGCCGCCAUGUUUGUUUACAUCCUGAGCCCCAGAUUCCUCGUCCCGCCGCGUCGACGUCACCCAUUCGGUGCGCCCAACAGAAUCCGAGCGAAGCACAGUCGACGAGGCACUCAUGCCCGCUUAUUCCGCCAUCACUCUAACUUCCUCCCUCAAGCGGCCUCUGGGCUCCAACGCCCUGGCGAUCUCCUCAGCCAGAUCCUCCGACGUCCAUGCACACGCACCUCCUUGGCCACAAUCGUCCCCUACCUCCACCUUCGGAUUCUCUCGAAGCAUUUUCAACCCCGUUCUCACCUACGGUAGCUAGCCACAGAAGUCAGCUAACGUUAGCUAGCUGGAUAACUUUUAUCAACAUUUUUACUUACCUGACUAGAUCAUAAAGGAACAAUUGUCCAGACAGAGGGUUGAGUUUACGAAUUGACGGUUUAUUAACCCAACUUUACACAGGCUACUGUUUGGCCGAAGCCCACGACAAAUAAAUGAAAGAUAACCUCGUUUGAAGGCCAGAAGUAAGAGAGAGAACAAAGGCUAAACCUGUUCUUAAUAACUUCCAAUGCUCCAUCCCCCUGCCCAACCCCCCUCCACGCCACUCCGCUAACCGCCCGGCAUCAGAACAUUCCAGGCAUUCCCGUGAUUGGCAGAUAGCAGGUUGAUUGGCAUGUCGGACCCCGCGAACACUGUGUACUGCCUUCCUCUCCUCUGAAGACCCAGUGAGGGUGGAGCUCAGUCAGAGAACUGUUGAGGGACUGGUUAGGAAGAACACUUCUACAGCCAGAGAGGGGCAGUCAAGAAAUGGAACGGCAAGGCCACAGAACAUGACAUAAGCAGAGCUGUGGGAGAUCACCUCAAUCGCCUGGUAGAGCCGGGGGUGGUGUUUACCACUCCACCACGGCUUCAGCAGGCUGGAAAAGUGGGAUUGAUGUGUUUGAUCUAUUUGUUUGUUUCAGUUUUCAGUAGUUGAAUCCUUUGACGUAUUGUUGAUUUCAACAAAUGCACUGUGUUGGUUGAAAAGUGAUACUAAACAUGCACUAUUUUGACACAGUGGAAGAUGCUGAAUUUAUACUGUUUUUCAUAAUAAGAUGGACCAAGAUGCGUGUUGCUUUUGCACAUAUUUGUUCAUUGGUUUCGCAAGAGUCUGUUGAUUGUCAGUCAUUGGGUUCAUUUGUUUUGCAAUAUGUUCAAAUGAAAUCAAGCUUUAUUUACACAGCACAUUUCAGACAUGGAUUCAACACAAUGGCUUCACAGGAAAAAACAUUAAAACAAUGAAAAUAAACAGAAAUAUUUUGUACACAAACAUAAGAGGAUAAAAAAACAGAAGGUUACCAACUAAAACUCUAAUGAGCACAUAAUUAAUAUAGGAGGGGCUCUGAAAGACACUAUGGAGGUGUCCACUGAAAGUUGACUAGUAACAACAACGGGGACCUGAAAGACACCCACCAUUAGACCCACUAAAUCUGCCCAAGAAGAGGCAAACAAAACAAAAACCCACACCAAACUUAAAGACAGGAAGCAAACCAAAAAGGUGGAGCAACUUAAGGUGUUGACACUCCAUAUCUAUCAAAACAACUGGAGCACUGGGCCAGACACUCUUAAAUAGAACUUGGACCAGCUCAGGUGAAACACCUUCCACUAACGAGAUGGACAAGCCAGCACAGGUGUAACACAUACUGACUAACGAGGUGACACCAAUCAGUGCGCCCUACGUGCUAACGAGCUAUACUUGCUACCGUCCAAACUCAAAACAUAAAUGGAAAAACCAAAGACUGUAACACCUUAAGAGAAAGCUUACCACCAACAGAAAACAACUUCC
Long non-coding RNA from Salvelinus fontinalis (brook trout), 1847 nucleotides. RefSeq lists it as uncharacterized. The record is from RefSeq and is a predicted model, not a curated record. The transcript has 3 exons. NCBI's taxonomy places the organism in Eukaryota, Metazoa, Chordata, Actinopteri, Salmoniformes, Salmonidae.